AGAAAGCAGGAAACUGUCAGUACAUCUGUGCACACAAAUUAUUACAGGCCCAUUACAGCCUGUACAAUAGCAGGCACAUCUCCACAACUAUUACACAAAUAUAACGUAAAAAACUUCUCGAUAGAGGUUAACAGGAAUUUCAAGAAGAAAAUCUAAGGAAUAGAAUGACUUGUAACACAAUCAACAGUGUAGCAGCAAUAGUUGGCAAACUGUUCCAGUAAGAGAAGACCAGCAGGGAAAGGAAGUAGUAGUGUCUGUCGACGCAUUUCGUGUGCCGCGGUCCACUCUUAACGAGUGCAUAAAUAAGUGAUACAGAUAAUGAGACUGUCGUAUAUUGAAGCGACCAUGACAGAAGAUAAGAGGGAUUUUAGACUGAUUACUAAAGAUAAUAGGUUGAGCUGCAUUAUUAAAUUAUGCUCCCAGAAUUCAUUAGAAGCAAUCUUUUACCGCGAUAGGAGGCCUGGUAAGCCAGAAAAGUCUCGGAAGUGGUGAUGCUGCCUUCAAGUUCCUGCAUAAGCUAGCUGUGGCGUGGAUUUUGACAGCGCCUGUUGGAUACCUGUAAACGUUUUCCCAGUGAAGAUGGACUAAAUAACAUUACAAAUAUGUGAAAGACUGCACUUGGCAAGUUUCGAAAACUUGCUACACCACAGUGGCCCAAAUAAGAGAAAAACUGUUUGGCAAGACAGACGAAGUGUGCAUUUAAAGAUAUUUCGGUUAACUUCAGUUAGAGGUUGACUGAACCAAAAAAAAAAAAAAAACGAAGGCCAAGUUUCCAUCGUUUCAAGCUUCGCGCCAAAGCGGCAGUGGCGUCACGGAUCUCGGAAGCAUUACCGCGUUUGGGCCGUUAAUUGUGGCGCCGUAAAAAUUGUCGAAUGUCACUCAGUUCGGUUUUUGGCGCCUUUAAAGUGCAAUGUAGUCUGUGUUUACCGGUUAAAAAUGUAACUGGGGCACAGCAGACGUCGCCAAAAUCCACGAAAUCGUAUUUUAUGAAACUAUGCACGGAAUCCGAUGCGGGAACUUCAAGAGAGUAGUAUGGCGGAGUGACCACCGACACUUCGUCUUUCGCGCCUUUUCGGUCUUCUGAAACUUCCUAUUGUACCCUGUUCAGUGCAAUGACAGAGGUAGCGACUGAGGUCGCACUACCGCCCCUGUGUGUGGCGACCAAAAUGACUGACACUCGCAGCGCCCGAUGCUCAAAUCGGCCGGCAAUAGUUCUGCGAGUCGCCGGUGCGAGCCAACUCCUUCCGUCGGGUCCACCGGUGGGCGGGAGUUCGGUGCUAUAGCCCGGUAAGAUGUGAUCGGAGAACGUGAUAGCCCGGAGAACGUGCUCUCGGGCUCAUGCCACUGCCGCCCAGAAGAUACGGAUAUCCGGUGCGUCCCGUUAGAUCGGUUUCGUACGCGAUGGGCUCGAAGCUGUCAACGUCGACUGUCUCCAGCAUUCUUUGGAUCAGCGCGGAAAACUACAGCAACACAAAAAUGGGAAGCGCACAGGGUGAGCGCUGGAAGAAUGCAAUCAAUCAAAUCAAUCAAAUCUUUAUUUCCAACGACAGUUGGGGGUCCCUUAGGCGAAAAAGCGGUAGUAACACCACUUGAAAAUACCUAAAGGUCCACGUACAUGACAGCGGUAUUAUGAUUCAUACGUUCAAAAACAAAUUUACAAUAAUCAAGUAAAAAAUGCAGUUCAAAAAAAAAAAAUAAGAAGAGGUUGUGCAAAUACAACAACGGAACAAUAGAACAAAUAAUGUCAAUAUAUAAGUACACUCCAGAACAGUUGUACAUUAUAGUUGAAAUAUUGAAUGUUCACGUGAACACACAUCAUAAAAUGACGAAAAUAAACGUGUUACAAGGAAUAAUGAA
This is a long non-coding RNA of Dermacentor andersoni, 1857 nucleotides long. RefSeq lists it as uncharacterized. The record is from RefSeq and is a predicted model, not a curated record. Lineage: Eukaryota; Metazoa; Arthropoda; Arachnida; Ixodida; Ixodidae.